Molecule: RNA transcript, 1708 nt
Organism: Zingiber officinale
Lineage: Eukaryota; Viridiplantae; Streptophyta; Magnoliopsida; Zingiberales; Zingiberaceae
Gene name: protein HAIKU1-like
Exons: 2
Source: RefSeq, a predicted model, not a curated record
CCCACGUCAAGUCAACGUACUCCCCACCCAGACCAAAUUUUCUUCUCAUCCCAUAAAUCCGUCGAGUCACACCUCUCUUCCUCCCCCUCCCCCUCCUUUUCCGUUGUUGUUCUCCGUCUCCAGAUCUCUUCCUUCCUUCCUUUUUUCCUCUCUCAUGCCUCAUCCACCACCACCAUCAUCAUCAAUUUCAGCAUCUUUCUCUCUUCCCAGAUUAAUUCAAGUAGUUUGAUCUGAUUGGGAGGACAGCGAUGGAUCACUCCAGACACAGCAACCAGCAUCAGCAGCUGGGAGUCAACAAGCUGGGGAAGAACAUCCGCAAGAGUCCUCUCCACCAACCCACUUACUAUAACCACAGGCCUCAUCCUACGCCGCCGCCGCCGCAGCCGCAGCCGCAUCCGCACCACCAGCCUCAACAGCCGCAGCCGCAGGUCUACAACAUCAGCAAGAACGACUUCCGCAGCAUCGUGCAGCAACUCACCGGCACGCCCUCCCGCGACUCCACCCCUGUACCCGCCGCCCCACAGCCCCGCCCCUCCAGCACCCGCCUCCAGAAGAUCCGCCCUCCGCCGCUCGCUCCUGUCGCUCGCCCCCCUCCACCUCCUCCUCCCCCGCCACUCGCGGCCCGCCCUCCUCCCUCUUUCGCCAAUCCUAACCCUAAUAUCCAUCACAAUCACCCAGCUGCUUUCCCCCGCCCCUCCCCCUCCGCCGGCCCCAGCUGGGCGGAGUCCCCCGUCUCCGCCUACAUGCGCUACCUCGAAAGCUCCCUCCUCAGCUCCGACACCUCCCACCACCCCCGCCCGCUGCUUCCCUCCCCAGGGCUGCUCCCUUCCCCGCGCCCUCCCUUCCCCUUCCCUUCCCCUUCCCCCGAAGGGCUCCAUAAUUCGGCCUCGCUUCCGCCCCUUACUCCGCCGUCCGCUUUCCCUUCUCUGACCGCGUUUUUGGAUCUGCUCUCGCCCAGAUCUCCUUACCCCCUGCUUUCGCCGGGGUUCCGCUACCCUACGCCGUUGACUCCCAACUUUGCCCUCUCGCCGUUGCCGCAACCAGGAAUUUUGGGGGCCGGGCCGUCACCCGGGCUGCAGCCGCCACCUUCCCCCGGGCUCUGGUUCCCUCAAUCGCCGUCAGGGUUCUUGCCCAUACUGAGCCCUAGAUGGAGGGAUAUGUUAUAAAUUAGUGAUCGUUGUGCGAAGCCCAGAGUCUACUCCUGUGUCAAACCUUGCGAUUUUUAACGUUCUCAAAAUUGGUUUCAUCGAUUGGUCUGACCAAAAUCCGAAGCACAACACUCAAGAUGAUGAUGAAGACAACUGCUGGCUUACGGAAUUCCUCUCGAGAUAUUGGUGGUAUUGACUCGGGAGUUCAAGAUCCAAGUGUGGCUGGCAUUAGAUGCUUUUGAAAUGCCAAUAUCUUGUGAGUGUCUGUUAGGACCACACGGCCAUGUAUGGUACACGGCCCGAUGCUCUUUCUCCCUUCAAUUACUUCCAAGCUUGCUCAAGGACACUUAAUCUUCACCAAUUUCGACUCCUGUGUACAGAAAAUGCACAAAAAGCAGAUCUCCGAACCAAAAGAGUAAAUAUGCUAAAAGGAAAGCUGGAAGUAUAAAAAUGCAUAGAUCAAGCAUGCUCAAAGUAUGUAAAUGUGCGUAAAAACAUGCAUAAAAGAGUAUAUAAUCUACGCACAUCAGUGUCAUAUUAGUAAGUGAUGUAUGUGAACU